This 543-nucleotide ribosomal RNA is filed under the name uncultured bacterium. Its description in RNAcentral is "bacterial SSU rRNA". It matches the Rfam family "Bacterial small subunit ribosomal RNA", at positions 382 to 916 of the family's 1533-position model. The record is from RNAcentral.
CCUGACGCAGCGACGCCGCGUGAGUGAUGAAGGUUUUCGGACUGUAAAGCUCUGUUGUUUAGGACGAAAGUGCCUGUUGCGAACAGUUACAGGUAUUGACGGUACUAAACGAGGAAGCCACGGCUAACUACGUGCCAGCAGCCGCGGUAAUACGUAGGGAGCGAGCGUUGUCCGGAUUUACUGGGUGUAAAGGGUGCGUAGGCGGCUCUGCAAGUCAGGUGUGAAAACUAUGGGCUUAACUCAUAGAUUGCACUUGAAACUGUGGGGCUUGAGUGGAGCAGAGGCAGGCGGAAUUCCCGGUGUAGCGGUGAAAUGCGUAGAGAUCGGGAGGAACACCAGUGGCGAAGGCGGCCUGCUGGGCUUUAACUGACGCUGAGGCACGAAAGCAUGGGUAGCAAACAGGAUUAGAUACCCUGGUAGUCCAUGCCGUAAACGAUGAUUACUAGGUGUGGGGGGUCUGGCCCCCUCCGUGCCGGAGUUAACACAAUAAGUAAUCCACCUGGGGAGUACGGCCGCAAGGUUGAAACUCAAAGGAAUUGACGG